This is an RNA transcript of Glycine soja, 1841 nucleotides long. It is a transcript of the gene named transcription factor PCL1-like, with no coding region annotated. The transcript has 3 exons. NCBI's taxonomy places the organism in Eukaryota, Viridiplantae, Streptophyta, Magnoliopsida, Fabales, Fabaceae. The record is from RefSeq and is a predicted model, not a curated record.
UCCCCUAAUUUAGAAAGAAAAAAGAAUUAGCAGCAUUAUUUCAUUCAUCUUUCUUUACUCACUUUUCUUGUCGCAACCACACACCCACCGCUGAAUCUCCCGAAAUAUCUUCACAACACAAGAAAUUCAAUUUGUGUUUUCUUUUCCUUCUCUUCUUUCUAUCUAUCCAAAUCCAAUUCCACGCUCCUUAAUUUAUUUAUUUGUUUCUCUUCGGAUCCAAAUUCAAUACCAUAACCGUUUCAGUUUCAGUUUCACAUAUAUAUCCCUGUCUCUGUUUGGGUUAGGGACAUAGAAGAGUGUGUGAGAGACGGUUAUAUAUUUUUUUAUUUUUUUUUACGGUUACAACUAACUGAAUGGGGGAAGAGGUGAAGACGAGCGAGUACGACGAAGAGCGCGUGAUGGAGUGGGAGAUGGGUCUCCCAACCGCCAACGAUCUCACGCCUCUCUCCCAGCCGCUGAUCCCGCCGGAGCUCGCUUCGGCCUUCAGCAUCUCGCCGGAGCCCCACCGCACCCUCCUCGAGGUCAACCGCGCCUCGCGCAACACGCUCUCCACAAUCCGCGGCGGCGGUAGCGUGCACCAGGCCUUCUCCUCCAACAACAACAACAACCACCACUACGACGGCGACGGAGACGUCGGCGACGAGGAGGAGUACGACGACGCCGAUCGCGACGGCUCGGGGUCAGAUUCCCGGAAGCAGCGGAAGAUCGACUGCGGCGUGGCGGAGGAGGCGGACUCGGCGGUGAGGACGGAGACCUCGGCGGAGCGAACGGCGGUGAAGCGGCCGCGGCUGGUGUGGACCCCGCAGCUUCACAAGAGAUUCGUGGACGUGGUGGCGCACCUCGGGAUCAAGAACGCGGUGCCGAAGACGAUUAUGCAAUUGAUGAACGUGGAAGGGUUGACCCGCGAGAAUGUCGCGAGCCAUCUCCAGAAGUAUCGUCUCUACCUGAAACGGAUGCAGGGCCUUUCGAACGAGGGCCCUUCUUCUUCGGAUCAGUUAUUCGCUUCCACAGCUGUGCCUCAGAGUUUGCAUGACUCUGCUCCUCCCAGUGCCCAUAGCAAUGGCCAUGGUCAUCUCCCUGUUCCCAUGAUGUCCAUGCCAUAUCCCCCUCCCAUGAUGUCCAUGCCAUACCCCCCUCCCAUGAUGUCCGGCAUGCCCCAUGCCCAUGGCCACAUGGGCAUCCCCAUGCCUAAUUCCUCCGCCACCUCAGCUUACCAUCCUUAUAACAUGUUGCAUCAAAGGGAUUGGCCUCACCUUGCUCCUAAUGAUAAAUGAACCUCCAAGAUUCAAAGGCUUGAUUAUUGGUGGUGUAGCUUUCUGAGAAGGCAGGAGCUACAUUGAUGAUUACCUUGUAAUUCACACAAAUGGAUUAUUGAGGAAGUAUAUGAACAAUACUAUAUGGAGCUAGAUUACAAUCUGAAUCAGUAGUGUGUAACCCUGUGGGAGAUUUACAAACAUAUUGGUACACAUCUCUAAUUCCUGUCACCUAAUUGUAUGACGAGAAUUCUGGCUUAUUUCUUCUGGUCUGCCUAGACAGCUGAUUCUAAAAACCAUUGAAUAAAAGAAAGACCGAACAACAGACAGGAAACAUUUAUUGGUUGCUCUGGCAUUAAAUAUUUUUCUUUAUCUUAUACCUCUUGAUCAUUAUUUCCUUUGAAAGAGAUGUUCAAUUUUUUUGAAUUGGGUGCUGUAGGUUAUCAUGUUAAAGAAAUGUUACACUGGGAGUUUAACCCAUAACGCGAUUCACGCGUCUCCUUUUACCUGUAGAAUUUCAACUUGACUUGCUGACUUUUUGGUGGUAAUGAACAAACGUCAACCAUCCUAUGGUUUAAUCGAUUUAAA